This is a non-coding RNA of Dermacentor andersoni, 1047 nucleotides long. NCBI's taxonomy places the organism in Eukaryota, Metazoa, Arthropoda, Arachnida, Ixodida, Ixodidae. The record is from RefSeq and is a predicted model, not a curated record.
UAACCACUGAGCAACCACGGCGGGUCCCGCAGGAGUUGUACGCCUCAUUUAACCUACAGUGGUGCCCUACUUGGUCAGUCAAGGUGGACCAAUCUGAGCUCGGUUAUACCGCAUGGAUGGCACUCGUCUAGAGAACCUGGUAUUUAUGACCUGCACAUGUGAGUGUGAGGCCAUACAUAUUUGAAGAUAUAUAUCUUUCUUUUUUGUUUUUUUUUUUUAGGAGGGUUCCCGUACAGUGAUAAAAUAAAGGAAAAGACAUUAAAACAAAGAAAAAAAAAAGAAAGAAAAAGGGGCGGAAAAAAAAAAGGAACAUAACAGGUGAUUUGAACUCGUGACCCUUCGAUGUUGCCCGGAAAGAUAGCUCAGUCGGUUGGUUCGUCAGGCCCCAGGCUACUUUCAAGCGCCACAGCUCCUGCUCCGAGCCUCACACUUACGUGGAAAGAGACUCAUGUUGUCCGCGAUAGUCGGUGCUUGGAAGGCAUACUUUCUAGGAAAAAUGGCCGCUCAAGGAGAAGAGCGAACUCGAGCGGCUUUAGAGGCUAGGAAAACUGCCUUAAAAUAUUUAGACUUGAGGGAAAGCUUCGUUAACAAACUAUAACACGGCAAUCAGCACUCGAAUACGACGAGAGAAAUUACUGAGACGUGGAAAAUUCCCUUGAAAAAAAAUCUGGUUUGCUAGACAAAUGCUUGUAUGUAUUGAACCUCUUAAAAGAUGAGGGGUGAAAUAUGCGCUCACCGAGAGGGCAUCUUCAGCACGAGACAUCCACAAGGCACCUUACAGAGAUGUGGAGAGCUUCGCGGCCGGAACGAAGCCUCCCUUCUCCGCCGGCCAAGAGGGGGAAACGCGCUUUCCGAUCGCUCAAGGUUGCGCGGACAAAGCAUAACUCUAGCGUCUAGGAAAAGCUUAACCAGGUGCGAUGGCGGCACGCAUAGCGUGGGAAGCUAGCCGCCAGAAUAACUAUACCAAGGACUGCUGCUGAUGAGGGCGAAAUACCUUCGUGUAAUUAUAAUAACCCUAAUAGGACUACUUUCGAAAAAAAAAGGAAA